GAGUAUAGAAAGUUGGAAAAUAAAUAAUCAGUUACAGGGUUUCAGCAAACAGUUACAAAGAAGACCUACAAACAACUCAGCAAGUUUCCUCCAUGAUAACAUAGAAAUCAAUAACAUGGAACUCUUUUUGCGAUGCAUCUACAAAGGAUACAGGAAAACCUCUAGCCAACUAGAAUAUAGCCUAAGGAGAUGCAGCAUAGAGCCAGAUACAGACGACCACAGGGAAAUCAGCAGCCACCUACUUACUGGAUAUUUCAAAAACUUCCACGAACUAGCAGCUUAGCAAUAUGUCCUUUGGCCCCAUCCUAGCACCAUAGGAGUUAGUGACCCUGAUAAUUGCCACCAAACACACCAAAAAAGCUACAAAUCUGCUGCUGCUGCAAAAAAGGCUGGCAAUAUUGGCACAUUCAUAUAAUUGAUCACAGUACCUCACUUGGAAGCAGAACACCUGGUCAAGUACGAGUCAUACGUCAGACUGCAGUAACAACGCAGUAAGAAGUUAAUUAAUUAUGAUACGACAAACUUGCUUGGAUUGUCUUACGUUCACAUCCACCCCACAUCCCCCAAUAAACUGUCUGAAUAGAGUUCUACCUAUUUAUUCUAAAAUAUUGAAAAUGUAUUCAUCAAAGACAAGGAACGAGUGCUUUCAAAAUCAUAUAAAAGUAGUUCGAGCUCAGUCUCCUUUCUCCUAAGAUAAGAAAGAAAAUGAUGGCCAGUAAACUAUCACAAGAAUACAUUAGCACUUGAGUAAAUUUGGUGCCACUAAUGUUUCCAUACAAACCAUAUGACAGAUUAUUAAGGACAAUUUGUGCAGCGGUUGAGUAUACGAACUAGAAAGAUGAAACAAAGUAUAGAUCAUUCUUGAUUUGGAAUCCAGGUUGAUUUGAUUUGAAACAACUAAAACCAUUCUGCUGAGAAAAACCUAAGCAAAUUAGCGAAAGGGUCAAACAUGUCAACAACAAAGCCUUUAGUCCCAAACAAGUUGGGGUACGCUAGAGCUGAAACCCAUAAGAUCUCGCAACCUACUCAUGGUUCUGGGACAUGGAUAGCUAGCUUCCACGCACCCCUGUCCAUGGUUAGUUCUUUGGUGAUACUCCAGUCCUUCAGAUCUCUCUUUACGGACUCCCUCCUAUGUCAAGUUCGGGCUACCCUGGCCCCUCUUGACAUGAAAGGGUGAAACCUGUUUCUGGUCUAGAAAUGCACAGGCUAAAGGCAAUUACAAAAAAGAAAAGAAAAGUUUGCAGCAUUUUGAAUCAGCUUCAGAGUGCUUACAACCAGGCAACCAGCAGAAACUGAUACAUAGUGAGUUCCUUGCUGAUAUCUAAUGCCCAACUAAAGCGUAACACCUUAACUCGGCUAAGUUUUACCAGUGAUGUCGAUGGUUGUGUCAGUCACAACUAUUGCAAAUAGUAGAGUUCACUUGCACCAAAAGAGAACACAAAUGGCAUGAUUGCUAGCUGGAACAUUUAUACAGUUUAGGUUAAUUCUAAAUUGCACUCCACAUAGCUCAGGCCUAAAAGAGUCAUAAAGUCAAAAAGUCUUAACAUCACGAACAAUGUCCUAUACACUAGAAAGAGUAGAAUCUGGAUAGCUGCAGGUUAUCCAUGUAAGCGGCUAAACCCCUAACAGAAAACAUGCGAUCUGACUUCAGCUUAAGCUCAUCGGGGACAAAGCUCAAAGUUAGGCCAAGCAGACAGUGGACUUUGGUGGUAGAAUAACAGCCAGUUAGCCACACUACAAAAAUAUGAUAAACAACAAAGGUGAGAUCCUUUCAACAAUUAAAUUUAAUGCGUUAAUUCUUCAACCCAUGUACUUUGUGCACUAGUGGGCACAUUUAAUAUUACAUUAUGUUGCCUCGAAUCAUACCAGUGAAAUAGGUAAUAGAUUCUUUGCUGCAGAAGAUGUAACACUUUAUUUCCGUCAAAACAAUGUAAUGAACAUUUCAACAAUAUUUCAUUUUUGGAAUCAAUUACUCCCUCCGAUCCAUAUUAUUAGUCGCAGCUUUAGUACAAAGUCGUACUAAAGCUGCGACAAGUAAAAUGGAUCGGACGGAGAGUUUUUUCCUUUGCGAGGAAAAUCGCUUAGUUAACAUGGUACAGGAUCCAUAGAACCGAGCUUGUUAUCCCUAGGUAUUUCAAGCUAUUAUAGGCAUGUACAAUGGACCAAGAUAAGGAGAAAUAACAAAAUUGUAAAAUGUUCUUUACUGAUUCAACUUCAAGUUGCCCAUUCUAAUCUGACUCAAAGACCCCUAUUGCAUCGAAUAUACAGUUAGUUCACACUUUGCACCUCAUAACCACGCCCUGUUAAUUUUUAGAUACAUAGACAACAAGACAAAGUAGAUAACAUCAAUGAGCAUUAAUUAUUGUAUCAAGGCUGGAGCUCGUGAAACAGAUUCCAUUUCAUCUUUCAGUGACUCCUAAGACCAAAAUUAGACAGCGGAAAUUUGUAAAGAACAAGAAGGCAUCACAGUGAGAGAACCUAACAGGGAUAAUUGUGGAUGUCCACCUGCCACCAAAAC
This 2518-nucleotide long non-coding RNA is filed under the name Triticum aestivum (bread wheat). RNAcentral describes it as "long non-coding RNA (TAES_LNC003513)". Lineage: Eukaryota; Viridiplantae; Streptophyta; Magnoliopsida; Poales; Poaceae. The record is from RNAcentral.